AGGCCUCCACUUUACAAGCAGCUGCCCAGGCCAUUUGGAAUGCCUGUAUGGAAUCACCAUAAACACAAUUUCUUGGGUUGAUAUAAUGAAUGAUGAAGUUCAGUUUUACCUUGGUAUCAUCUGUGUUUCCGUCGCCCUUGGCUCCGUAACUCACCACAUUGAAAACGCGACCUGCAUUGCCAGAACCUAUGCUCGGUGGGGAGACCGGAGCUGGGGGUGAUGAUGGUUUGGGAGAGGGAUGCUUCUGCUUGAUCUUACCGGCAUUGCCGUGUUGGCGAUGAUACUUUGGUUUCUUCUUGUACAGAGCUCCCCUGCUUUGCCUCCAAUGCUUUCCCUGUCUUGCAUGGCAGGUUUCCAUGUUGGAUGACCAGACCAGAAUUGCAAUGGCCAGAAUUAAUAAUAAUGUGAGACCUUUCAUAAUCAUCUUCUUGUCAUGUAUGCAGAUGUUGCAGAGAGAGUGUAGUGGAGGAGAAGAGUGUUAUGUUGUGUGUUUUUGGGUAGGAUGAGAGGAGAUGCUGAUGUUAUGUCUAUAUAGGAAGGGAUACAUUUUUGGUCUAACUAUUUAGGCCUAAAAACAAAAAGAUGUCCUCAUAAUUAUUGGCAUAUUGUUUUAUUCUUGGUC
Molecule: long non-coding RNA, 622 nt
Organism: Ipomoea triloba (trilobed morning glory)
Lineage: Eukaryota; Viridiplantae; Streptophyta; Magnoliopsida; Solanales; Convolvulaceae
Exons: 2
Source: RefSeq, a predicted model, not a curated record